GAUGAACGCUGGCGGCGUGCCUAAUACAUGCAAGUCGAGCGAACAGAUAAGGAGCUUGCUCCUUUGACGUUAGCGGCUGACGGGUGAGUAACACGUGGGUAACCUACCUAUAAGACUGGGAUAACUUCGGGAAACCGGAGCUAAUACCGGAUAAUAUUUCGAACCGCAUGGUUCGAUAGUGAAAGAUGGUUUUGCUAUCACUUAUAGAUGGACCCGCGCCGUAUUAGCUAGUUGGUAAGGUAACGGCUUACCAAGGCGACGAUACGUAGCCGACCUGAGAGGGUGAUCGGCCACACUGGAACUGAGACACGGUCCAGACUCCUACGGGAGGCAGCAGUAGGGAAUCUUCCGCAAUGGGCGAAAGCCUGACGGAGCAACGCCGCGUGAGUGAUGAAGGUCUUCGGAUCGUAAAACUCUGUUAUUAGGGAAGAACAUACGUGUAAGUAACUGUGCACGUCUUGACGGUACCUAAUCAGAAAGCCACGGCUAACUACGUG
Molecule: ribosomal RNA, 497 nt
Filed under: uncultured bacterium
Lineage: Bacteria
Description: partial 16S ribosomal RNA
Rfam family: Bacterial small subunit ribosomal RNA
Source: RNAcentral